Molecule: ribosomal RNA, 468 nt
Filed under: uncultured bacterium
Lineage: Bacteria
Description: partial 16S ribosomal RNA
Rfam family: Bacterial small subunit ribosomal RNA
Source: RNAcentral
GACGAACGCUGGCGGCGUGCCUAACACAUGCAAGUCGAACGGAAAGGCCCUACUUUUGCUGCUUUCUCGUUAGGCGAACGGGUGAGUAAAACGCGAGUAACCCCCCCCUAUCUUUCUGAUAUCUCCACGAAACUGCGUAUCAUACCCCAGAGAAGCUCCUGCUGCACAGUGUGCGUUGGUAAGUUUCGGCGGUUCGGGCUGGACUCGCAGCUUAUCAGCUUGUUUGUGUGGUUGUGGCGUACCAAGCCUUUGACGGGUAGCCGGCCUGAGAGGGUGACCGGCGACAUUGGGACUGAGAUACGGCGCAGAAUGCUACGGGAGGCAGCAGUGGGGAAUAUUGCACAAUGGGCGGAAGCCAGAUGCAGCAACGCCGCGAGCGGGAUGACGGCCUUCGGGUUGUAAACCGCUUUCGCCGGUGACGAAGAGUGAGUGACGGUAAUGGGUAAAGAAGCACCGGCUAACUACGUG